AAUAGAUACCCUGGUAGUCCACGCCGUAAACGAUGAGUGCUAAGUGUUAGAGGGUUUCCGCCCUUUAGUGCUGCAGCUAACGCAUUAAGCACUCCGCCUGGGGAGUACGGCCGCAAGGCUGAAACUCAAAGGAAUUGACGGGGGCCCGCACAAGCGGUGGAGCAUGUGGUUUAAUUCGAAGCAACGCGAAGAACCUUACCAGGUCUUGACAUCCUCUGCCAACCCUAGAGAUAGGGCGUUCCCCUUCGGGGGACAGAGUGACAGGUGGUGCAUGGUUGUCGUCAGCUCGUGUCGUGAGAUGUUGGGUUAAGUCCCGCAACGAGCGCAACCCUUGAUCUUAGUUGCCAGCAUUCAGUUGGGCACUCUAAGGUGACUGCCGGUGACAAACCGGAGGAAGGUGGGGAUGACGUCAAAUCAUCAUGCCCCUUAUGACCCGGGCUACACACGUGCUACAAUGGAUGGUACAAAGGGCAGCAAAACCGCGAGGUUAAGCCAAUCCCAUAAAACCAUUCUCAGUUCGGAUUGCAGG
Molecule: ribosomal RNA, 529 nt
Filed under: uncultured bacterium
Lineage: Bacteria
Description: bacterial SSU rRNA
Rfam family: Bacterial small subunit ribosomal RNA
Source: RNAcentral